RNAcentral lists this ribosomal RNA (492 nucleotides) under uncultured bacterium. RNAcentral describes it as "partial 16S ribosomal RNA". It matches the Rfam family "Bacterial small subunit ribosomal RNA", at positions 29 to 507 of the family's 1533-position model. The record is from RNAcentral.
AGUGAACGCUGGCGGUAGGCCUAACACAUGCAAGUCGAACGGCAGCACAGUAAGAGCUUGCUCUUACGGGUGGCGAGUGGCGGACGGGUGAGGAAUACAUCGGAACCUACUUUUUCGUGGGGGAUAACGUAGGGAAACUUACGCUAAUACCGCAUAUGACCUACGGGUGAAAGCAGGGGAUCUUCGGACCUUGCGCGAUUGAAUGAGCCGAUGUCGGAUUAGCUAGUUGGCGGGGUAAAGGCACACCAAGGCGACGAUCCGUAGCUGGUCUGAGAGGAUGAUCAGCCACACUGGAACUGAGACACGGUCCAGACUCCUACGGGAGGCAGCAGUGGGGAAUAUUGGACAAUGGGCGCAAGCCUGAUCCAGCCAUACCGCGUGGGUGAAGAAGGCCUUCGGGUUGUAAAGCCCUUUUGUUGGGAAAGAAAAGCAGCAGGUGAAUACCCCGCUGUUCUGACGGUACCCAAAGAAUAAGCACCGGCUAACUUCGUG